UAGUGAUCAUUCAAUCACACAUUGGUCCUACUGCAUUGCAUUUAAUAUCAAAGGCUUAUUCAAGAACCUAAUUAAAGUCUUCAUUCUGUUUUUAAAAUUCUUGUCCCUCUGUUCCCAACACAGUCUUAGGCACACACGUGAUAUGAAUUUUUUUUAAAAAUAUGAGGAUCUUAAGAUACAAUUGUACGAUUGACAGUACACUAAAAAUGAAAUGACAAAGAUUUUACGACAGAUGGUGCUGUGCCCACUACUUAAAGUUUCUAGCUACAAGGCAAAGGUUCUUGUCAAAGUUUGUUGUAGGAAUUUUGGUCCCUUUGUUCUCAUUGCACUUUUAGAUGCACAUUAUAAUGAAAAUUUCAAAGUACGAGAAUCUCAAGAUAUAAUUAUACAACUAAGAGUAUAUUAGAACAAAGAUGAUUGAAAUUUUAGGAUAGAUGAUCAUAAGUUGUGCCCACUAAUCAUAGCUACAAGCUACAUGGCAUUUUUUACUCAUGCAAGUUUAUUUUAGGAAUAUCUAAUAGAGGGAUCCUUUAUUCCAAAAUUUCUAUCUCUCUGUUCCCAGUAUACUUUUAGCUGCAUGAUAUGUAGUGAGAAUCUUGAAACACAAAAGUAGGCACCAUUAUACAUAAUUGAUAGUGCAUCAGGAGCAAAAAGAAACUGAUUUUGAGAUGGAGAAUUCUCGUACCUAUUAAUUAUAGUUUCUAGCUACGAGGCAAAGUGCAUUUUUCGUGUGCAUUGUUAAACCAGGUAUAACCUCAGUGUCUAUGUCCUCUUUCUUCUUCCCAACAGGCAAUUCUCAGUCAAAUGAAUAGAGAAGAUUAGCUAGUGCAAGCUCCACUGUCACAACACCCAGACUCAAAUGAAUGAGUUAACGGAGCACAUGGAGGGAUCUUCUAUUUAUACUUUGCUACUAAAGAAUUUGUUUUGCUCACUCUACUUUUAUCAUGGAUCAUGCAGAUGAAGUGAAUCAAUCCAUCAUCAUAUGGUGAAUGGAGCAUAAGUUUGGAGGCUGUUCCAGCAAAGAACUAGUUCUUUGAAACUUGAGUAUGUCCUGAUUGGGAGGUUGGGCAGAUAUGUAAAGGAGUA
Non-coding RNA from Camellia sinensis, 1086 nucleotides. The record is from RefSeq and is a predicted model, not a curated record. Lineage: Eukaryota; Viridiplantae; Streptophyta; Magnoliopsida; Ericales; Theaceae.